RNAcentral lists this long non-coding RNA (816 nucleotides) under Equus asinus (donkey). RNAcentral's name for it is "lncRNA (ENSEASG00005036267.1)". The record is from RNAcentral. Lineage: Eukaryota; Metazoa; Chordata; Mammalia; Perissodactyla; Equidae.
CUUGCAAGGGGUCUCUGAUCAGGAACAGCCCGGUCUGUCGGACAGGUGGACUAUGGUGGAAUCUUGAAAGAGAAUGGACUGGGAUCUUGAUUACUUUGUGCCCAAGAGACCAAGGUCUCAUUUGAACGAGGUGGGAAUUAGAGGAGGGUCAAGGGUUGACGAGCUCUCUCACACGUUUGAUUCAUCGCAAGUUUACGUGUGCAUGUGACGUGGCUCCUGCGUGUCGAUGUGGUGGGGGACAUCGCGGGCACAGAUACGUUGUGUCACUCAAUCUCACAGUGGCCAUAGGAGGCUGGAGCCGUGCAUCCGUCAGUUGCAGGAGACAAAAAAUCCAGCGCAGAGGGAGUUUGCAGACUCUGGGAACUGGCCGUGUGAGCACUGACCAGGCUUCAGGCCUGGCUCUAACAAUCUGGGGUCUGAUCUCUCGCAGUCUUCCCUCUUUGCUCCCUGACGAGUUGGCCUCGCUCUCAGCUAGUCUCUUCCGAUUGAAGGCAAAGUGGUCACUCGCGGCUCCUGAGGUAGCCUCCUCCUCUGUCAACUUACAGCCUCAGUGGAAAAGCAGCCUUUACCACGAGCUCAGCAAGAGGCUCAGGAAGGGUUUUCAUUGGUCCAGCUCGAGUCACACACCUGUCCCUGACCAAUCACGGGGCUGUGUGUGAAUUAAGUGCCCACCCCUGGAGACCCUCAUGGACUGAGAGCCGGGGAGGGGGGUCCCCAAAGAAAAGAGGUAGUUUUUUUUUUAACCUGUUUGGGUCAUUUCUUCACCCUUCAUUUUAUUUUAUUGUGGUAAAACACGCACAACAUAAAAUUUACCAU